RNAcentral lists this ribosomal RNA (254 nucleotides) under uncultured bacterium. Its description in RNAcentral is "partial 16S ribosomal RNA". It matches the Rfam family "Bacterial small subunit ribosomal RNA", at positions 524 to 776 of the family's 1533-position model. The record is from RNAcentral.
CACGUAGGGUGCGAGCGUUGUCCGGAAUUAUUGGGCGUAAAGAGCUCGUAGGCGGUGUGUCGCGUCGAUCGUGAAAACUUGGGGCUUAACCCUGAGCUUGCGGUCGAUACGGGCAUCACUUGAGUUCGGCAGGGGAGACUGGAAUUCCUGGUGUAGCGGUGAAAUGCGCAGAUAUCAGGAGGAACACCGGUGGCGAAGGCGGGUCUCUGGGCCGAUACUGACGCUGAGGAGCGCAAGCGUGGGGAGCGAACAGG